This is a long non-coding RNA of Eubalaena glacialis (North Atlantic right whale), 317 nucleotides long. RefSeq lists it as uncharacterized. The transcript has 3 exons. The record is from RefSeq and is a predicted model, not a curated record. Lineage: Eukaryota; Metazoa; Chordata; Mammalia; Artiodactyla; Balaenidae.
GGGUCAUAAGACACAGGGAACAGCUGGCUUUCGAAGGUGUGGCCAUCGAUUUCUCUCAGGAGGGGUGGGAAUGCCUGGACCCUGCUCAGAGGGCCUUAUACAGGGACGUGAUGUUGGAGACGUAAAGGAACCCGAUCUCUGUGGGGGACACGGGUUCGAGUCUUGGUCCGGGAAGAUCCCACAUGCCGCGGAGCAGCUAAUCCUGUGCACCACAACUACUGAGCCUGAGCUCUAGGGGCCACGAGCCACAACUCCUGAGCCCACGCGCUGCAUCUACUGAAGCCCAAGUGCUCCAGAGCCCGUGCUCCGCAACAAGA